GCUGAUCCACACAGAAACCCAAAAGCCCGACGAGAUUUUUGUGCUGAAGUUUCAAUAUCAGUAGGACUUCAUUUGUGAACUCCAGAGUACCCUGCUCAGAGAAGCUUGAAAGCCUCUUGACAGCUACUUCCUUUCCAUCAGGUAGUACACCCUAAAAUGAAUAAACUUGUUUUCUUUUAAAUUGCAGAAGAGGCAUCUUGGAUAAUUUAAUUUUUGAUUUAGAUGUCAAUAAUGAAAUGUGUUAAGUAUUUGAUAGAAAUUUCUCUUACCUUGUAAACAGGUCCAAAACCACCUUGUCCCAGCAGCUUUGAAUGAGAGAAGUUAUCAGUAGCUGAGUUUAUGGUUGCCAAAUCAAAAUAAGAGUCAUGAGCCCUUAGCUC
Molecule: long non-coding RNA, 380 nt
Filed under: Theobroma cacao (cacao)
Lineage: Eukaryota; Viridiplantae; Streptophyta; Magnoliopsida; Malvales; Malvaceae
Description: long non-coding RNA (TCAC_LNC004107)
Source: RNAcentral